RNAcentral lists this ribosomal RNA (468 nucleotides) under uncultured bacterium. Its description in RNAcentral is "partial 16S ribosomal RNA". It matches the Rfam family "Bacterial small subunit ribosomal RNA", at positions 28 to 507 of the family's 1533-position model. The record is from RNAcentral.
GACGAACGCUGGCGGCGUGCUUAACACAUGCAAGUCGAACGGAAAGGCCCUGCUUUUGUGGGGUGCUCGAGUGGCGAACGGGUGAGUAACACGUGAGUAACCUGCCCUUGACUUUGGGAUAACUUCAGGAAACUGGGGCUAAUACCGGAUAGGAGCUCCUGCUGCAUGGUGGGGGUUGGAAAGUUUCGGCGGUUGGGGAUGGACUCGCGGCUUAUCAGCUUGUUGGUGGGGUAGUGGCUUACCAAGGCUUUGACGGGUAGCCGGCCUGAGAGGGUGACCGGCCACAUUGGGACUGAGAUACGGCACAGACUCCUACGGGAGGCAGCAGUGGGGAAUAGUGCACAAUGGGCGGAAGCCUGAUGCAGCAACGCCGCGUGCGGGAUGACGGCCUUCGGGUCGUAAACCGCUUUCGCCUGUGACGAAGCGUGAGUGACGGUAAUGGGUAAAGAAGCACCGGCUAACUACGUG